Molecule: transfer RNA, 69 nt
Filed under: Chryseobacterium sp. 52
Lineage: Bacteria; Pseudomonadati; Bacteroidota; Flavobacteriia; Flavobacteriales; Weeksellaceae
Description: tRNA-Ser
Rfam family: tRNA
About the family: Transfer RNA (tRNA) molecules are approximately 80 nucleotides in length. Their secondary structure includes four short double-helical elements and three loops (D, anti-codon, and T loops).
Source: RNAcentral
GAAGCAGUAGUUUAAUGGAAAAACACACAUUGCUAAUGUGAUUUGGAGGUUCGAAUCCUGCCUGCUUCC